This 489-nucleotide long non-coding RNA is filed under the name Macaca mulatta (Rhesus monkey). Its description in RNAcentral is "lncRNA (ENSMMUG00000052138.1)". Lineage: Eukaryota; Metazoa; Chordata; Mammalia; Primates; Cercopithecidae. The record is from RNAcentral.
AUGCCCUCGUGCACGUUAACAGUUUCUCCCUCCACCACAGUUUGCUAUCUUUCCAUCGCUGGCAUUCAGAUGGCCUCACCCAUCUCCCCGAGGGACAGCUGCUCCCAGACCCGCCCUGCAGCUGAGCGGCAAGACGAGCAGAAUUUUCCCCGUGAACAGGAGACAAGGAUGAGCAGCCACCAUAGAGUUGGUUUCUGUACUUCAACCUCUCAAUCAAGCCAAAAACACAGCUUCUUGGAGGGACCAGGCCAUCUCUGCAAGAUAUUCCUCAACCGUGACAUCAGCAACCAUCUUAGGCCAUUGGCAGGGAGUGAGCUGACUACUCCCCAGGAUCUCAGAGCAGAAGGGCAACUGCCUCAAGCGUGUGCAGUCAUUUAUUGCCCUGGAAAUGUACAUCCAGAACAGAUGUUCUGGCAUGUUCUGGCAGCCGUCCCGUUCAGCCUCUGCAUGAAGACUCUGUUUCUUUUCCUAAGCUGUCCCAAGACCUGA